UCAUGGGCACUGGGAAAACUGGGUUAAUCUUUUGUAGGGGGAGUGUAAAACAAACCAAACCUGCAUUAAUGUCAGAAAGCUUAUCUGUCAACAAGCCAACACCAAGCCUCUUGAGUUCCCUUUAUCUGAUAAUGUCAAGAAACCUGGGUUAGCAUUCUUCCCACCUCAGUCUAGUGCUUAUUCAGUCCCGAGCCGUGUUGAAACUGCCCACAUGCUAGGUAUAUAUAAUGUUAGGAAACAGUUCCCAGUGCAGACAGCUGAAACCCAAUCGCUUGCUCUGCUGAGUGUCCCAGUGAUUACACGGCUCCUCUGCAAGCUUGUGCCGAAUGUAUAAAGAACGCAGUGACCACGGCUUCUUGUUCAUUCUGUGUGUCUAGGGAGAAGAAUGUGGGAACUUCAAACAAUAACUUAAUGAUGGUUCAGGAAAUUCAGGAAAGACAGGCUGCUGUGGCUUUCUGCCCUUGGAGGAAGCCUCGAUGUAUUGCCCUUUGCAUCCGGAAUGAAAAGUUUGCUCAUGAAGCUGGAGGAAAACCUUAUGCUUUCAGAAGGUGACACCUGAGCCUGCUUGAAUCAGCCUGUCCCCCUGUUUCUUCCAAAGCCCUAGGUGCUAACCUGUUCUUGACUCACACUGGCCCACACUGCUGUAUCAUCUGCUUGGCUAACACUCAGCCAGAUUUCACCUGGGCAUUGGGGUUACUUCUAAGACCGACUGCCUCUUCAUCCUGCCUGCAGCUGCUUCUUUCGUUGUUCUGAGUUUGUAUAUUUUGGUCUUCUUGAGUAUCCCAGAUCUAAUGCUUACUCCUGGUGGUUUGUGUCAGAAUUGGACUGAACUGUGGGACACCCAGUUGGUGUUAGAGAAUUGCUGGGGGACCAGAGCCACACAGCCACGUUUUCUCCUCCAAUACCACGGGAAGUGACCCAUGGCAGCGGCAGAGGGUGUCGCAUAUGUACUUGCUUCAUUGGGUCCUGGCUGAGGUAGCAGAUUUCCCACAGAAGUCCAUUUUCCCUUUCCUGAGUCACAUCUGAGCCCGCGGCCCUAUAAGGGAAUGAUUCCCUGCUCGGUGAUGAAAUGCCAGGACGCGACAUCCUUUCUAAUGAGUCACAGUCAAUACAAAUUGUUUUCAAAUGACUCUGCCUCUGCCUCCACACCGCGCUUCGUGAAAGAAGAACCUCUUCAAAUCAAAACAUCUUGUUUCAUCAGCCGAGCUCCGGCAGACCUCUCACUUUUGUAAGCAAAAUGAAAUGUGUUUCCACACAAAGGGAAAAUCCAAUCUGUUCUUAUUUUUCCUCGGGUGCCCGUGUUCCACCGUAAGAGGAAAUGACGGAGGCACACACUGGAAAGUGUUUGCAGGGUUUGGGGACGGAGAAGCUACUGAGGAGUUUUGUAGACAAUAAUAAUAAGACAUGUAGAG
Myotis myotis is the source of this 1412-nucleotide long non-coding RNA. RefSeq lists it as uncharacterized. The transcript has 6 exons. Lineage: Eukaryota; Metazoa; Chordata; Mammalia; Chiroptera; Vespertilionidae. The record is from RefSeq and is a predicted model, not a curated record.